Molecule: RNA transcript, 1048 nt
Organism: Fragaria vesca subsp. vesca
Lineage: Eukaryota; Viridiplantae; Streptophyta; Magnoliopsida; Rosales; Rosaceae
Exons: 2
Source: RefSeq, a predicted model, not a curated record
UCCAAGCAACAGGUAGAGGUCCAGUAUUGUGAGAAGCAUUGUAGAUAUCGUCUGGAAGUAAUCCUGACUCCUGAGAGGUAAUUAUAACCGGCACGAAAGACCUGCAGUUCGGAACAUUUCCCGACUCCACGAGGAAUACCACCAUUGAAAUUAUUGAAGGAAAAAUCAAGGUGUCGUAACGAGGAACAAGGAAGACAAAUAGAGGAUGGGAUAGGACCUGAAAAGGUGUUACUGACAUUGAAACUAGUCAAGUUCCAAGCUUGUUGGAAAAAAGAAGAUGGAAUCAGACCAUGUAAGCGAUUAAUGGAAAAAUCCACCAUCUGAAUAUGACUGGAUGGUAGAGAAGAUGGUAACACUCCAAAGAGAAGGUUAUAGCUCAAAUCCAGGAUUUCGAGAUCAUUCAAGGACAAGAAGAGCUCAGUUUGAUCUAGAGAACCAAAAAGGGAAUUGUGUGAGAGAUUCAAGUAAGUGAGAUGUGUGAGAUUUGCAAGUGAUGAUGAGGGAAAAAUACCUUCCUUUAGUGUGAGCCCUUUGGAGGGUAAUCGCAAGUGGGUUACCCAAUCAUAUCGAUUACAAGUAAUCCCUUCCCAAUAGCAGCAAUUACUAGAAGUCCAGAAUAAGGAAGGGGAAGAUAGAGUGAGGGCAAAGGACAAGAGAGAGGUACGUUCAGUUUGGAUGCAUGCAUCAAUAUUAUGAGUAGAUAAAAUGAGAGAAAACAAGAUUAGCUUGAGAAUAAAGCCUUGUGUCACUGGGUACUCUUGUUGUACUGUUAUGUUUUUUCGAGGCUGAGCCAUGAUCAUGUGGUUGUGGACUUGUGAUAGAUUUUGAUCGUCAGUUUUUGCAUAUAUACAGAUUGAAGCAGAUUUGAAAUUCCAAGACGACCCAGAUUAUAUAUGAUACAUCUUGUCAAUGAAAUUAUACAAUUGGAAGAAAAUAAAACACGGCUGCAUAUAUUAAGGUGGAAAAUAGAAGCAAUGGCAUAUGGACAGAAGAAGGAAAAGCGCGGCUGGCGCCUGCUCCAGGUAACAAUUGAGGAGUAUGGUUUUCA